GAUUAGCCAUGCAUGUCUAAGUACAUGCCGUAUUAAGGCGAAACCGCGAAUGGCUCAUUAAAUCAGUCAUGGUUCCUUGGAUCGUACCUUACUACUUGGAUAACUGUGGCAAUUCUAGAGCUAAUACAUGCAGCAGAGCUCCGACCUUCGGGGACGAGCGCUUUUAUUAGACCAAAACCAAUCGGACCUCGUGUCCGUCCUUUGUGGUGACUCUGUAUAACUUUGGGCUGAUCGCACGGGCCUGUCCCGGCGACGUAUCUUUCAAGUGUCUGCCUUAUCAACUUUCGAUGGUAGGUUACGCGCCUACCAUGGUCGUAACGGGUAACGGGGAAUCAGGGUUCGAUUCCGGAGAGGGAGCCUGAGAAACGGCUACCACAUCCAAGGAAGGCAGCAGGCGCGCAAAUUACCCACUCCCAGAACGGGGAGGUAGUGACGAAAAAUAACAAUACGGGACUCUUUUGAGACCCCGUAAUUGGAAUGAGUACACUCUAAAUCCUUUAACGAGGAUCCAUUGGAGGGUAAGUCUGGUGCCAGCAGCCGCGGUAAUUCCAGCUCCAAUAGCGUAUAUUAAAGUUGUUGCGGUUAAAAAGCUCGUAGUUGGAUCUCAGUUCCAGACGGGUGGUCCUCCUACCGGUGGCUACUGCCUGUUCUGAACAGUCAGCCGGUUUCUCUUGAUGAUCUUCACCGGUUGUCUUGGGUGACCGGCAAGUUUACUUUGAAAAAAUUAGAGUGCUCAAAGCAGGCGUGACGCCUGAAUAAUGGUGCAUGGAAUAAUGGAAUAGGACCUCGGUUCUAUUUUGUUGGUUUUCGGAACACGAGGUAAUGAUUAAGAGGGACAGACGGGGGCAUUCGUAUUGCGACGCUAGAGGUGAAAUUCUUGGACCGUCGCAAGACGAACUACUGCGAAAGCAUUUGCCAAGAAUGUUUCCAUUAAUCAAGAACGAAAGUUAGAGGUUCGAAGGCGAUCAGAUACCGCCCUAGUUCUAACCAUAAACGAUGCCAGCCAGCGAUCCGGCUGUGU
This 1021-nucleotide ribosomal RNA is filed under the name Pireneitega kovblyuki. RNAcentral's name for it is "SSU rRNA". It matches the Rfam family "Eukaryotic small subunit ribosomal RNA", at positions 42 to 1063 of the family's 1831-position model. Lineage: Eukaryota; Metazoa; Arthropoda; Arachnida; Araneae; Agelenidae. The record is from RNAcentral.